This 863-nucleotide ribosomal RNA is filed under the name uncultured Acidobacteriota bacterium. Its description in RNAcentral is "bacterial SSU rRNA". It matches the Rfam family "Bacterial small subunit ribosomal RNA", at positions 58 to 922 of the family's 1533-position model. The record is from RNAcentral. Lineage: Bacteria; Pseudomonadati; Acidobacteriota.
CAAGUCGAGUGCGCGUCUCCGUAGCAAUACGGGAAUGGCGCACGGCGCACGGGUGCGUAACACGUGGGUAAUCUGCCCUUCGAUGGGGAAUAACUCGCCGAAAGGCGAGCUAAUUCCGCAUAACAUUCCUUGGACUCCGGUUCGAGGAUUCAAAGGCGUAAGUCGUCGGAGGAGGAGCCCGCGCACGAUUAGCUAGUUGGUGAGGUAAUGGCUCACCAAGGCUAUGAUCGUUAGCUGGUCUGAGAGGAUGGCCAGCCACACUGGAACUGAGACACGGUCCAGACUCCUACGGGAGGCAGCAGUGGGGAAUCUUGCACAAUGGGCGAAAGCCUGAUGCAGCGACGCCGCGUGGGGGAUGAAGCUUCUCGGAGUGUAAACCCCUUUCGACCGGGACGAAUGCCCGCAAGGGACUGACGGUACCGGUAUAAGAAGCCCCGGCUAACUACGUGCCAGCAGCCGCGGUAAGACGUAGGGGGCCAGCGUUGCUCGGAAUUACUGGGUGUAAAGGGUUCGUAGGCGGUGUAGCAAGUCGGGAGUGAAAUCUCUGGGCUCAACCCAGGGGCUGCUUCCGAAACUGCUGUGCUAGAGUGUGGGAGAGGCGCGUGGAAUUGCAGGUGUAGCGGUGAAAUGCGUAGAUAUCUGCAGGAACACCCGUGGCGAAAGCGGCGCGCUGGACCACUACUGACGCUGAGGAACGAAAGCUAGGGGAGCAAACAGGAUUAGAUACCCUGGUAGUCCUAGCCCUAAACGAUCAGGACUUGGGGUGCCACCCGUUCGGGUGUCGUCCCGGAGCUAACGCGUUAAGUCCUGCACCUGGGGAGUACGGUCGCAAGACUGAAACUCAAAGGAAUUGACGGGGGCCC